Molecule: long non-coding RNA, 1138 nt
Organism: Biomphalaria glabrata
Lineage: Eukaryota; Metazoa; Mollusca; Gastropoda; Planorbidae
Exons: 5
Source: RefSeq, a predicted model, not a curated record
CUGUCGUAAACCACUUUCUAAGAGCAGUGACUCCUGCACACGGAAGUUGGUGUGCCACAAUGCUAAUACGGAUAGGCAGAUUUGUUUUGUUACAGCACAGAGGACAAUAUGUUAUAACCCAAAUACUUUCGCAAUGCUUGUACCCAGUGUUUCCAAAACUUUUUCGUUAACGGAACACUUCGGACAUUCUGAGUGGAACACUUCGGACAUUCUAAAUGGAACACUUUGCUAAUUUUUUAGAUUAAUUCACGUGGUGGCCUACUCUAGUUAAUUAUUUCAGUAGUUCGUGGAACAUCUAUUCAGGCCUCGAGGAACACUGGGGCUGACUGGGGUUCCGCAGAACACAGUUUGGGAAACACUGUUGUAACUGGUUUCUAUUUUUCCUGAUCACCGACCCAUAUCCUGUACGAUAAGAAGGAAGGAUACUGUAUAUUGCAAAACCAAUUGGAGAAGACGCCUUUAUUGUCUUGGUUAUUUAUAGAUUCGUGUAUAACGUUUGUUGGGGAACCUCUGUUACGUCGACCAUCUUUCAAGUAACCAAAAAGGACUGCUUUUUUUGGCGUACGAUUGUCCCCCCUACUGGAUACGUGCCUUGCCCAGCGCAGCUAUCAGACCAUAAAAAGUACCUCUAUACUGUCCAUACCGGUUUUCGCAAGGUCAUCGCUGACUGUAGUGCAGCUUGCCACCGCCACUACAUCCUACCUGUGUUAACAGACGAGAGAAACUGAAUUGAGGAAAGAUUUUAUUUUGACGAGUAUUUGGACAUGAUGUCUGUCCACGUACAUCCGCAAGCCCUACUCACUGGUAGCAAGUCCCUUGACGUUUCUCUGUACACCUGGACCUGUCCACUGCUUAGCCAGCCCCCAUCUCUUCUAGUGUGUCAGCACGUGCGAGGUGACACGCUAUCCCAAUGACAGCCCCGACUUCCAACAAUCAGUUGCUGGAACAAAUUCAAUAAAGAAAUCUUCUAUGGCGCGACCACAUCAAUGUGCAGGCAAUGUCAUUUUCAUAUUUAAGAUACUUUAAAAAAAAAUGAAUUUAAUUAAUUGUAAGAUUAACCUUCAUUUGUGAAAAAUACUAUUUAAAAAAAACAACACUAUAUUAAUAUGUUCCAGUUUUAUAGAUUUUUAUAUUGCCC